Molecule: long non-coding RNA, 668 nt
Filed under: Nicotiana benthamiana
Lineage: Eukaryota; Viridiplantae; Streptophyta; Magnoliopsida; Solanales; Solanaceae
Description: long non-coding RNA (NBEN_LNC042486)
Source: RNAcentral
CUUCUUCCACACACCCUAGACCAUAAGAACCCCAAAAACCAGCAAUAUCCAACGCCCCUAAGCAGCCAACGGUCCAUCAGCUGCUCACCGCUGACAGCCAUCAGUCGCCGGAAAAUCUAAGAGCCAACGAACCCCCCUCCCCCACCCUCUCCAAACCUCUAAGCCUGAGCCACCCAAACUCUUUCUCCUCUUCACUCCCAAGCCUCCAGCCGUCCACCCUCUUCCACCAACAACACCGGCCAUAACACCCAAUCUCCAGUCACAGCAGCCAGUCGCUUCCCAUCCCAAAAAUCCUCUUACAUGCCUGGACAUGACAAACACCAAAACAGGGCAAGAAACCCAUUAACGACCAGCAAAAAUAGCUAGUACAAGAUUCGUAAAGUUUACAUUGCAACACCGUUUCAAACGGCAGUCUAGGUCCAAAAGCAAUGGGAAUUGACUAAAUCAUUCCCAAAAAUCUCCUCUCCGUUUCAAUGUAUUUUUAACGUAUCACGUUGUAUUUUUAUGUAUUUUAUUGUAUUUUUUGUCUUUUUUUGUUGUAAUUUAGUGUAUCUCGCGCUAUAUUCUAUGUAUUUCAUUAUACUCAAUAACUUUUUUUAAUCAUAUUUCAAUGUAUCCCGCUGUAUUUUAUGUAUUUCAUUAUAAUCACUGUCUCGCCGUAUGCCAUG